CCUACGGGUGGCUGCAGUGAGGAAUAUUGGUCAAUGGGCGAGAGCCUGAACCAGCCAAGUCGCGUGAGGGAUGACGGUCCUAUGGAUUGUAAACCUCUUUUGUCGGGGAACAAAGGCGUCCACGUGUGGCCUGAUGAGUGUACCCGAAGAAAAAGCAUCGGCUAACUCCGUGCCAGCAGCCGCGGUAAUACGGAGGAUGCGAGCGUUAUCCGGAUUUAUUGGGUUUAAAGGGUGCGUAGGCGGACAGUCAAGUCAGCGGUAAAAAUGCGGUGCUCAACGCCGUACAGCCGUUGAAACUGGCAGUCUUGAGUGGGGUAGAGGUAUGCGGAAUGCGUGGUGUAGCGGUGAAAUGCAUAGAUAUCACGCAGAACUCCGAUUGCGAAGGCAGCAUACCGGCGCCCUACUGACGCUGAGGCACGAAAGCGUGGGUAUCGAACAGGAUUAGAUACCCGUGUAGUC
This 459-nucleotide ribosomal RNA is filed under the name uncultured bacterium. Its description in RNAcentral is "partial 16S ribosomal RNA". It matches the Rfam family "Bacterial small subunit ribosomal RNA", at positions 338 to 795 of the family's 1533-position model. The record is from RNAcentral.